AUUGAACGCUGGCGGCAUGCCUUACACAUGCAAGUCGAACGGCAGCACGGGAGCAAUCCUGGUGGCGAGUGGCGAACGGGUGAGUAAUACAUCGGAACGUGCCCUGUCGUGGGGGAUAACUAGUCGAAAGAUUAGCUAAUACCGCAUACGACCUGAGGGUGAAAGCGGGGGACCGUAAGGCCUCGCGCGAUAGGAGCGGCCGAUGUCUGAUUAGCUAGUUGGUGGGGUAAAGGCCCACCAAGGCGACGAUCAGUAGCUGGUCUGAGAGGACGAUCAGCCACACUGGGACUGAGACACGGCCCAGACUCCUACGGGAGGCAGCAGUGGGGAAUUUUGGACAAUGGGGGCAACCCUGAUCCAGCAAUGCCGCGUGUGUGAAGAAGGCCUUCGGGUUGUAAAGCACUUUUGUCCGGAAAGAAAUCCCUUGCCCUAAUACGGCGGGGGGAUGACG
Molecule: ribosomal RNA, 451 nt
Filed under: Cupriavidus sp. S717-13
Lineage: Bacteria; Pseudomonadati; Pseudomonadota; Betaproteobacteria; Burkholderiales; Burkholderiaceae
Description: bacterial SSU rRNA
Rfam family: Bacterial small subunit ribosomal RNA
Source: RNAcentral